Molecule: ribosomal RNA, 1413 nt
Filed under: Salmonella enterica subsp. enterica serovar Enteritidis
Lineage: Bacteria; Pseudomonadati; Pseudomonadota; Gammaproteobacteria; Enterobacterales; Enterobacteriaceae
Description: partial 23S ribosomal RNA
Rfam family: Bacterial large subunit ribosomal RNA
Source: RNAcentral
GAAAGGCGUAGUCGAUGGGAAACGGGUUAAUAUUCCCGUACUUGGUGUUACUGCGAAGGGGGGACGGAGAAGGCUAUGUUGGCCGGGCGACGGUUGUCCCGGUUUAAGCGUGUAGGCUGGUUUUCCAGGCAAAUCCGGAAAAUCAAGGCUGAGGCGUGAUGACGAGGCACUACGGUGCUGAAGCAACAAAUGCCCUGCUUCCAGGAAAAGCCUCUAAGCAUCAGGUAACAUCAAAUCGUACCCCAAACCGACACAGGUGGUCAGGUAGAGAAUACCAAGGCGCUUGAGAGAACUCGGGUGAAGGAACUAGGCAAAAUGGUGCCGUAACUUCGGGAGAAGGCACGCUGACACGUAGGUGAAGUGAUUUACUCAUGGAGCUGAAGUCAGUCGAAGAUACCAGCUGGCUGCAACUGUUUAUUAAAAACACAGCACUGUGCAAACACGAAAGUGGACGUAUACGGUGUGACGCCUGCCCGGUGCCGGAAGGUUAAUUGAUGGGGUCAGCGCAAGCGAAGCUCCUGAUCGAAGCCCCGGUAAACGGCGGCCGUAACUAUAACGGUCCUAAGGUAGCGAAAUUCCUUGUCGGGUAAGUUCCGACCUGCACGAAUGGCGUAAUGAUGGCCAGGCUGUCUCCACCCGAGACUCAGUGAAAUUGAACUCGCUGUGAAGAUGCAGUGUACCCGCGGCAAGACGGAAAGACCCCGUGAACCUUUACUAUAGCUUGACACUGAACAUUGAGCCUUGAUGUGUAGGAUAGGUGGGAGGCUUUGAAGUGUGGACGCCAGUCUGCAUGGAGCCGACCUUGAAAUACCACCCUUUAAUGUUUGAUGUUCUAACGUGGACCCGUUACCCGGGUUGCGGACAGUGUCUGGUGGGUAGUUUGACUGGGGCGGUCUCCUCCUAAAGAGUAACGGAGGAGCACGAAGGUUGGCUAAUCCUGGUCGGACAUCAGGAGGUUAGUGCAAUGGCAUAAGCCAGCUUGACUGCGAGCGUGACGGCGCGAGCAGGUGCGAAAGCAGGUCAUAGUGAUCCGGUGGUUCUGAAUGGAAGGGCCAUCGCUCAACGGAUAAAAGGUACUCCGGGGAUAACAGGCUGAUACCGCCCAAGAGUUCAUAUCGACGGCGGUGUUUGGCACCUCGAUGUCGGCUCAUCACAUCCUGGGGCUGAAGUAGGUCCCAAGGGUAUGGCUGUUCGCCAUUUAAAGUGGUACGCGAGCUGGGUUUAGAACGUCGUGAGACAGUUCGGUCCCUAUCUGCCGUGGGCGCUGGAGAACUGAGGGGGGCUGCUCCUAGUACGAGAGGACCGGAGUGGACGCAUCACUGGUGUUCGGGUUGUCAUGCCAAUGGCACUGCCCGGUAGCUAAAUGCGGAAGAGAUAAGUGCUGAAAGCAUCUAAGCACGAAACUUGCCCCGA